This 229-nucleotide ribosomal RNA is filed under the name uncultured Lactobacillus sp. RNAcentral describes it as "partial 16S ribosomal RNA". It matches the Rfam family "Bacterial small subunit ribosomal RNA", at positions 134 to 354 of the family's 1533-position model. The record is from RNAcentral. Lineage: Bacteria; Bacillati; Bacillota; Bacilli; Lactobacillales; Lactobacillaceae.
GAGAUCGGGAGUAACACCUGGAAACAGAUGCUAAUACCGGAUAACAACAGAUGAUGCCUAUCAACUGUUUAAAAGAUGGUUCUGUUAUCACUCUUGGAUGGACCUGCGGUGCAUUAGCUAGUUGGUAGGGUAACGGCCUACCAAGGCGAUGAUGCAUAGCCGAGUUGAGAGACUGAUCGGCCACAUUGGGACUGAGACACGGCCCAAACUCCUACGGGAGGCAGCAGGG